GAACGAUAAGGAUGUUGAUUUAUGUUUUAUCUGUCACUACAUUUUCAGUAAAGUUGGGCAGCGAGCCUUAACGAAGCGAGGGCUGUUAUCACCUCUCCUUAGCCCUUUAAGUGCAGCAGGCUCUUUGGUGUCUCUCGCUGAAUGCCGCUUUGUUAAUUGCGACGGUAAACAGGACACAGCGCUGACCAUCGCACUUACCACAGAACCGCCGGGUUUGGGAAAGGAGCCCGGGUCCAGCGGGAGUCACACAUGAAGGAGGGUUCGUAGAAGUACUCAGCAUUUCCUGGACUUGCUUCUAUCGUUUCAAAUGUAUUGCAUACCUUGAAGUGAAUGUAAUGGCUGGCUUAAUUGGAGAUAGCUUCACUGAAGUGGCCGUGGUUACCAUUUAUGUCAGCGGUGAAUGUGCCCUUUAACGCUGCGCCCCUCAGAACUUCUACAAGAGAGGAGUUGGAGUCCUGGCAGAGUGACCAGAAGUGUGACAUUCAGGAAAGGAAAAGAUAUUUCCGGACACUGUCACAGCAUCUGAGGAACCAUAUUCCAGCUGUUCUCAGACUUUCCCAUUUCUGGAAACCUGCCCCUCCUUCAGCUCCAACCACAAAUGUCCACACAAUAGAAAUCCAGUCAUUCUCCCAGAGGUCAGUCAAGGACUAACUCAAGAUUACCCCCGAAUGUCUCUGUUAUUUUUUCACUCCCAUCUAAGGACUGUUAGAAUCACAAACUCAGGCAUGAACUCAUUAUCUCAAAGCAACGCACCAACAUUUUUGUGAAUUUGCCCUGAUAGAAUUGUGUGUUAAAGUCUUUCCCAAAGUUACUAAGGUCUUUAGCUCAGGCAUGUCCAAACUGAAAAUCAGGAUGUCAAAAUAUGCAAAAAAAAAAUUUAAUAAGUCACAAACCCCCCAAAAUAAAGGAAUUAACAGGUUUUCUAUUCUCUUUAAAAUUGAGGCAACUUGCUUGAUGACAAUCAGCAGUCUUGUCACUUUCAGAUGUCACCAGCUAUCUUUUGCUGUUGUUUUACUUCAGAUUUGAAGUUCCAUUUGCUCUUUGCUCUUUUU
Long non-coding RNA from Melospiza melodia melodia, 1052 nucleotides. RefSeq lists it as uncharacterized. The record is from RefSeq and is a predicted model, not a curated record. The transcript is spliced from 3 exons. Lineage: Eukaryota; Metazoa; Chordata; Aves; Passeriformes; Passerellidae.